Ailuropoda melanoleuca (giant panda) is the source of this 97-nucleotide small nuclear RNA. Lineage: Eukaryota; Metazoa; Chordata; Mammalia; Carnivora; Ursidae. The record is from Ensembl.
GUGGCGGCACAUGUACUAAAACUGGAUGAUACAGAGAAGAUUAGCAUGGCCCCUGCGCAUGGAUGACUUGCAAAUUCGUGGACUGUAUGUCCUCUGC